GAGUUUGAUCCUGGCUCAGAUUGAACGCUGGCGGCAUGCUUUACACAUGCAAGUCGAACGGCAGCGCGGGGCAACCCUGGCGGCGAGUGGCGAACGGGUGAGUAAUGCAUCGGAACGUAUCCUGUAAUGGGGGAUAACGUAGCGAAAGUUACGCUAAUACCGCAUACGCUCGAGAGAGGAAAGUGGGGGAUCGCAAGACCUCACGUUAUAGGAGCGGCCGAUGUCCGAUUAGCUAGUUGGUGGGGUAAAGGCCUACCAAGGCGACGAUCGGUAGCUGGUCUGAGAGGAUGAUCAGCCACACUGGGACUGAGACACGGCCCAGACUCCUACGGGAGGCAGCAGUGGGGAAUUUUGGACAAUGGGCGAAAGCCUGAUCCAGCCAUGCCGCGUGCGGGAAGAAGGCCUUCGGGUUGUAAACCGCUUUAGUCCGGGAAAAAGGGGUGCGAGGAUAAUACCCUCGUGCUUUGAUGGUACUGGAAGAAUAAGCACCGGCUAACUACGUG
Molecule: ribosomal RNA, 503 nt
Filed under: uncultured bacterium
Lineage: Bacteria
Description: bacterial SSU rRNA
Rfam family: Bacterial small subunit ribosomal RNA
Source: RNAcentral